This 300-nucleotide unclassified non-coding RNA is filed under the name uncultured Vararia. RNAcentral's name for it is "sequence contains 5.8S rRNA gene, ITS2". The stretch from base 1 to 71 matches the Rfam family "5.8S ribosomal RNA", at positions 84 to 154 of the family's 154-position model. Lineage: Eukaryota; Fungi; Basidiomycota; Agaricomycetes; Russulales; Lachnocladiaceae. The record is from RNAcentral.
GUGAAUCAUCGAAUCUUUGAACGCACCUUGCGCCCCUUGGUAUUCCGAGGGGUACACCUGUUUGAGUGUCGUGAAUUCCUCCACUUGGCCGUCUUCUUUUGGAAGGCGUUGCUUGAGCUGGGAUUUGGGGGUUUCUUGCGGGUCCUCUGGAUCCGCUCCCCUUGAAUGCAUUAGUUGAGGCUCUAAGCGUUUUGUGCCUUGGUGUGAUAAGUUUAUCUACGCCUCUGCCCUUCGCUCGCCGCGAGGCGAAGCCUUGCUUCUAACCGUCCUUCACACGGACAAUCUUCUUUUUAACUUGAC